Molecule: ribosomal RNA, 468 nt
Filed under: uncultured bacterium
Lineage: Bacteria
Description: partial 16S ribosomal RNA
Rfam family: Bacterial small subunit ribosomal RNA
Source: RNAcentral
GACGAACGCUGGCGGCGUGCUUAACACAUGCAAGUCGAACGGAAAGACCCUGCUUUUGUGGGGUGCUCGAGCGGCGAACGGGUGAGUAACACGUGAGUAACCUGCCCUUGACUUUGGGAUAACUUCAGGAAACUGGGGCUAAUACCGGAUAGGAGCUCCUGCUGCAUGGUGGGGGUUGGAAAGUUUCGGCGGUUGGGGAUGGACUCGCGGCUUAUCAGCUUGUUGGUGGGGUAGUGGCUUACCAAGGCUUUGACGGGUAGCCGGCCUGAGAGGGUGACCGGCCGCAUUGGGACUGAGAUACGGCCCAGACUCCUACGGGAGGCAGCAGUGGGGAAUAUUGCACAAUGGGCGGAAGCCUGAUGCAGCAACGCCGCGUGCGGGAUGACGGCCUUCGGGUUGUAAACCGCUUUCGCCUGUGACGAAGCGUGAGUGACGGUAAUGGGUAAAGAAGCACCGGCUAACUACGUG